This 265-nucleotide long non-coding RNA is filed under the name Pan troglodytes (chimpanzee). RNAcentral describes it as "long non-coding RNA NONPTRT011621". The record is from RNAcentral. Lineage: Eukaryota; Metazoa; Chordata; Mammalia; Primates; Hominidae.
UAGCUGAGCAGUGUGUCUGCCUCCACCUUCACCCUGACCACUGAUUCUGUUUCUGUAUCUCCAUUUUGGUGAGUGGCUGGGACCAAGAAUGAGGUAUCUCAAGUGGUCUUGUGGGGAUAUCUAGUCAUUCCCUUAAAAGAAAAGGUUGGAAAGAAGGAUUCUGAGCAGACAAGUUGUAUUAUACUUGGCUGACGCAGCCAGAAUUGACGGACAUUAGGGAUGGGGAGUUGGAGGGCUUGGAGGUUAAGAUAUGCAGAAGAAACGG